Molecule: ribosomal RNA, 241 nt
Filed under: uncultured Peptostreptococcus sp.
Lineage: Bacteria; Bacillati; Bacillota; Clostridia; Peptostreptococcales; Peptostreptococcaceae
Description: partial 16S ribosomal RNA
Rfam family: Bacterial small subunit ribosomal RNA
Source: RNAcentral
CGUGGGUAACCUGCCCUAUACACAUGGAUAACAUACUAGAAAAGUUUACUAAUACAUGAUAAUAUAUAUUUGUGGCAUCGCAGAUAUAUCAAAGUGUUAGCGGUAUAGGAUGGACCCGCGUCUGAUUAGCUAGUUGGUGAGAUAACUGCCCACCAAGGCGACGAUCAGUAGCCGACCUGAGAGGGUGAUCGGCCACAUUGGAACUGAGACACGGUCCAAACUCCUACGGGAGGCAGCAGGC